RNAcentral lists this ribosomal RNA (1200 nucleotides) under Triticum aestivum (bread wheat). RNAcentral's name for it is "partial small subunit ribosomal RNA". The record is from RNAcentral. Lineage: Eukaryota; Viridiplantae; Streptophyta; Magnoliopsida; Poales; Poaceae.
AUGAGUAGCCGCCGCCGCCGCCACGCCCGCUCGCCGGCGUCCGCGCCGCUGGACGACGACGACCUCCUCUGCGAGAUCCUGCUCCGCCUUCCCCCGCAGCCCUCCUCCCUCCCUGGCGCCUCCCUCGUCUGCAAGCGCUGGCGCUGCCUCGUCUCCGACCCCGGCUUCUUCCGCCGAUUCCGCCUCCGCCACCGCCGCAACCCUCCCCUCCUCGGCUUCUUCGACAGAUUUGAUAUCCUCUCCUUCCUGCCCACUCUGGAGGCCCCCAAUCGUGUUCCCUGCGAGCGCUUCUCCUUCCAGUGCCCCGACUUCGGCAGCUGCUCCAGCUCCCUUGGAUGCCGCGAUGGCCUCAUGCUCCUCUUCCUCCGUGAGCGUCUCCAGGUCCUGGUGUGGGACCCCGUCACCGGCGACCAGCACCGCAUUGCCAUUCCUGCAGCGUUCGAUGACAAGAAAACCCUGAUCGGCCUGAUCAAUGGGGCGGUUCUUCGUGCUGCCGAAGACGCCCGACACUUCCAGGUGGUCUUGGUAGUCGCAGAUGGCGACGACGAACAACAUAUACGGGCGCUUGCUUGUGUUUACUCGUCAAAGACUGGCUUAUGGGGAAAUCUGAUCUCAACACCGAUUCCAUACCAGCCUUCUGAUAGUUCAUUCCGUGUCCCUACCAUGGUUUAUACAGAUGAUGCUGUGCUGGCUGGAGGUUCCCUUUACUGGAAGCUUGCUGGGAAUAUGACUGGAAUUCUUGCAUUCGAUUUGGAGAAGCAGAGUCUAGCUGUGAUACGGGUGCCAGUGGAUAUGUAUGGCGAGGGAAAGUGCUUCAAGGUUAUGCGGGCCGAGGUUGGUGGGCUGGGUUUCCUUGUUGUUUCGGAAUCUGACUACACUGCCAAGUUAUGGAAGAGGAACACUGAUUGUGAUGGUGUCGCUUCGUGGGAGCUUGGAAGAACUAUUGAACUGGACAAGCUACUUCCCCUGAAAUCGGAGGAGAAAGAGCCCCUUGCAAUACUGGGAUUUGCUGAGCAGAAUAAUGUGAUGUUUCUGUGGACAGUUAUCGGCGUCUUGAUGAUCCAGCUUGAGUCAUUGGAGUUCAAGAAUCUUUAUAAAACCAUGAUCUUUUCUUACUAUCAUCCAUUUGAAAGUGUCUACAGUGCAGGAACAUGUGUUUCUGGUGGACACGACAGGGCUAAGCUAUUGGUCAAUACGUAA